Molecule: long non-coding RNA, 403 nt
Organism: Diospyros lotus (date-plum)
Lineage: Eukaryota; Viridiplantae; Streptophyta; Magnoliopsida; Ericales; Ebenaceae
Exons: 3
Source: RefSeq, a predicted model, not a curated record
CCUUGAGUAGCCUUAUGGAUUCACAUGGAAGCAGGGGCGGCGGCGAGAUGGGAGAUCUCUCGUCGAUGAAAACUCGAUGGCUGAAAUCCCUAAGCUCUCUCAGAACCUUUCGAUGCUGUUUGUGGGAGCAAAAUGCUUCAGAGCAAUGCGGCUUUUGAAGAUCCGCGGCAAUAUAUUUGGACAAAGAUUCAUACUCCUUUGAUGGUGGACAUGGCAUAUCAAGUUGAGUCACGUAAAUGAAGAUGAUGUAAAGGCUUCAAAAUCUUCAAUGGCUCGGUUCAUUGCAUGAAGAAUCAUCUUCCUUAUCUGUCGUUCACACAGAGGAGAGAAUUCAUUUUAGAAAGAAAAUUGUUGGAGCAGUUUGGAAUAGUAUGAAGAAGGGAUGAGAUGUUUUGCCUCUAAU